RNAcentral lists this ribosomal RNA (468 nucleotides) under uncultured bacterium. RNAcentral describes it as "partial 16S ribosomal RNA". It matches the Rfam family "Bacterial small subunit ribosomal RNA", at positions 28 to 507 of the family's 1533-position model. The record is from RNAcentral.
GACGAACGCUGGCGGCGUGCUUAACACAUGCAAGUCGAACGGACAGGCUCUGCUUUUGUGUGCUGCUCGAGUGGCGAAGGGUUGAGUACGACGUGAGUAACCUGCCCUUGCCUUCCGGAUAACUUCAGGAAACUAGGGCUAAUACCGGAUAGGAGCUCCUGAUGCAUGUUGGUGGAUGGAAAGUUUCGGCGGUCGGGGAUGGACCCGCGGCUUAUCAGCUUGUGGGUGGGGUAGUGGCUUAGCAAGGCUAUGACGAGUAGCCGGCCUGAGAGGGUGACCGGCCACAGUGGGACUGAGAUAGGGCCAAGACUCAUACGGGAGGCAGCGGUGGGAGUUAUGACACGAUGGGCGGAGGCCUGAUGCAGCAACGCCGCGUGCGGGAGAACGGCCUUCGGGUUGGAAAGCGCAUUCGCCUGGGACGAAGAGAGAGUGACGGUAAUGGAUAAAGAAGGACCGGCUAACUACGUG